GACGAACGCGUGGCGGCGUGGAUUAGGCAUGCAAGUCGAACGGUAUCAUCCUUCGGGGGUGAGAGAGUGGCGAACUGGUGAGUAACACGUAGGUUAUCUACCCUCAAGACGGGGACAACCCAGGGAAACUUGGGCUAAUACCGGAUGUGAGCAACUUUUAGUUGUUUGAAAGGUGGCGUAAGCUGUCGCUUGGGGAUGAGCCUGCGUCCUAUUAGUUAGUUGGUGAGGUAACGGCUCACCUAGGCAAUGAUAGGUAGGCGGCCUUAACGGGUGGUCGCCCACACUGGGAUUGAGAUACGGCCCAGACUCCUACGGGAGGCAGCAGUCGAGAAUAGUCUACAAUGGUCGGAAGACUGAUAGUGCGACGCCGCGUGAACGAUGAAUCCCUUCGGGGUGUAAAGUUCUUUUAUAUGUGAGCAGUGCUUCUUAUAUUAACAGUAUGGGGAGAGAGAUAUUAGCAUAUGAAUAAGCAACGGCUAACUCCGUG
RNAcentral lists this ribosomal RNA (487 nucleotides) under uncultured bacterium. RNAcentral describes it as "bacterial SSU rRNA". It matches the Rfam family "Bacterial small subunit ribosomal RNA", at positions 28 to 507 of the family's 1533-position model. The record is from RNAcentral.